This 466-nucleotide ribosomal RNA is filed under the name uncultured bacterium. Its description in RNAcentral is "bacterial SSU rRNA". It matches the Rfam family "Bacterial small subunit ribosomal RNA", at positions 330 to 792 of the family's 1533-position model. The record is from RNAcentral.
ACCAGACUCCUACGGGAGGCAGCAGUGAGGAAUAUUGGUCAAUGGGCGAGAGCCUGAACCAGCCAAGUCGCGUGAGGGAAGACGGUCCUAUGGAUUGUAAACCUCUUUUGUCGGGGAGCAAAAAGGCCUCGUGAGGCCACAAGUGAGAGUACCCGAAGAAAAAGCAUCGGCUAACUCCGUGCCAGCAGCCGCGGUAAUACGGAGGAUGCGAGCGUUAUCCGGAUUUAUUGGGUUUAAAGGGAGCGUAGAUGGGUUGUUAAGUCAGUUGUGAAAGUUUGCGGCUCAACCGUAAAAUUGCAAUUGAUACUGGCAGUCUUGAGUACAGGUGAGGUAAGCGGAAUUCGUGGUGUAGCGGUGAAAUGCUUAGAUAUCACGAAGAACCCCGAUUGCGAAGGCAGCUUACUAAACUGUGACUGACAUUGAUGCUCGAAAGUGUGGGUAUCAAACAGGAUUAGAUACCCCGGUA